RNAcentral lists this ribosomal RNA (433 nucleotides) under uncultured bacterium. RNAcentral describes it as "partial 16S ribosomal RNA". It matches the Rfam family "Bacterial small subunit ribosomal RNA", at positions 29 to 507 of the family's 1533-position model. The record is from RNAcentral.
AACGAACGCUGGCGGCAUGCCUAACACAUGCAAGUCGAACGAGACCUUCGGGUCUAGUGGCGCACGGGUGCGUAACGCGUGGGAACCUGCCCUUAGGUUCGGAAUAACUCCCCGAAAGGGGUGCUAAUACCGGAUAAUGUCUUCGGACCAAAGAUUUAUCGCCUUUGGAUGGGCCCGCGUUGGAUUAGCUAGUUGGUAGGGUAAAAGCCUACCAAGGCGACGAUCCAUAGCUGGUCUGAGAGGAUGAUCAGCCACACUGGGACUGAGACACGGCCCAGACUCCUACGGGAGGCAGCAGUGGGGAAUAUUGGACAAUGGGCGAAAGCCUGAUCCAGCAAUGCCGCGUGAGUGAUGAAGGCCUUAGGGUAGUAAAGCUCUUUUACCCGGGAUGGUAAUGACAGUACCGGGAGAAUAAGCUCCGGCUAACUCCGUG